This 549-nucleotide ribosomal RNA is filed under the name uncultured Acidobacteriota bacterium. RNAcentral's name for it is "bacterial SSU rRNA". It matches the Rfam family "Bacterial small subunit ribosomal RNA", at positions 355 to 897 of the family's 1533-position model. Lineage: Bacteria; Pseudomonadati; Acidobacteriota. The record is from RNAcentral.
UCGGGAAUUUUGGGCAAUGGGCGCAAGCCUGACCCAGCAACGCCGCGUGAAGGAUGAAGUCUUUCGGGAUGUAAACUUCGCAAGAAUGGGAAGAAUAAGUGAAAGAUAAUACCUUUCACGAUGACGGUACUAUUUGUAAGCUCCGGCUAACUUCGUGCCAGCAGCCGCGGUAAUACGAGGGGAGCAAGCGUUGUUCGGAUUUACUGGGCGUAAAGGGCGCGUAGGCGGCGCAACAAGUCACUUGUGAAAUCUCCGGGCUUAACUCGGAGCGGUCAAGUGAUACUGUCGUGCUAGAGUGCAGAAGGGGCAACUGGAAUUCUUGGUGUAGCGGUGAAAUGCGUAGAUAUCAAGAGGAACACCUGCGGCGAAGGCGGGUUGCUGGGCUGACACUGACGCUGAGGCGCGAAAGCUAGGGGAGCGAACGGGAUUAGAUACCCCGGUAGUCCUAGCCUUAAACGAUGGAUGCUUGGUGUCUGAAGUUAUAUAGUCUUCGGGUGCCGUCGCUAACGCUGUAAGCAUCCCGCCUGGGGAGUACGCACGCAAGUGUGA